Molecule: RNA transcript, 1460 nt
Organism: Tribolium castaneum (red flour beetle)
Lineage: Eukaryota; Metazoa; Arthropoda; Insecta; Coleoptera; Tenebrionidae
Exons: 2
Source: RefSeq, a predicted model, not a curated record
AAAAUAAUUUCCAUUUCCGCAAUCAAAACUCCUCCAAGAAUAUUCACGUUGUGGAAGACAUCUUCGUAAAUGUCGUCAAAGAUGUUUUACUUUCAGGCGAUGUCCUGGAUUAUUACGACACGUUAUCCAACUCUCUUGAUCCAUGAUUACCAAUAGACUGAUGAGUUGAGAUUAUUUACACAAUGUUUUGUACACUUUUAACGAAAUGUUUGUUUUAAAAAAAAUACAUUAUGUAGACUGUGUAAUGAAGCAUCCGGAUUCCGGACGAUUCUAUGGUGACGUAGGAGUCAUGCGCUCAAGUCAGUUCCACCACCACCGGCGCUCGGUUUGUUUACACCGUGUCGCCAAUAAAAGGGCGAAACCGAGCGUUCUCCAGCAGUUGCUCACUGUGCAUCAAACCGUAAAAGAUGGAAUCAACACCGCCGAGAAACCGCCACUCCGAGUCCAUCGAGACAAAAUUGGUGCGCCUGUUUGGACAAUCCCCGGAAAGCCCCUAUCUGGAGCUAUAUGCAUCCCCAUUACCAGGUCUCGUGUCGCCGCUCCCGCCAACACCGUCCCCAGUCCGCAGAAGGGAGAUUCAGGAGGCCCUUAUUAAGAAGCUGGGAACAAGCCCCAUAUUGGCAAGCCCGACAGCCUGGCUGGAAUCCCCGAAAACUCCGGUGCAGUUUUCCCCGGAACCGGAAAAACCCGUUACCCCUGGCAAAAGCAUCGCCCAGGAGGUUCUGGACGUUUUCCGGUCGAAGCCAAGGAUACUGCCGAAAAUUCCACCGGCGCCGGAACCGAUCAACCUGGCAGUCCCACUUUGGACUUUCCGGCCAGCGGGUAAUACAGAGGGGCGAUGCCGAUUCAGAUUCCCGACAACCACCGGCGGCUUCCGAUGGGUCCUCCUGCCACCGAGACCGAAGACGGCGGACAAGGCGACGGGCGUAUCCGGCAUUACGUCAUGCCGUUUCUGAAGAAAGGGGGGGGUGUAAUGAAGCAUCCGGAUUCCGGACGAUUCUAUGGUGACGUAGGAGUCAUGCGCUCAAGUCAGUUCCACCACCACCGGCGCUCGGUUUGUUUACACCGUGUCGCCAAUAAAAGGGCGAAACCGAGCGUUCUCCAGCAGUUGCUCACUGUGCAUCAAACCGGUGAGUAACUCUGGGGGUCGAGCCGUGCAUCAAACCGGCAAAACCUUCUCCGACGAGUGGUGCUUGCUGCGCAUCAAACCAGCACACCAUCUCCACCGACCCGACCGACCUAGAGCUCCGACGAGUGGUGCUUGCUGCGCAUCAAACCAGCACACCAUCUCCACCGCCCAGACCGACCUGGGGCUUGGUAGGGAAAUUACGACCGAGGACAACCGUGUAAAUAGUGUAUAUAGUUAGGGAUAGUUAUUAUUAUUACUUUUAUUUAUCUUGGGGAUUUGUUAUUUUUAUUUGUACAGUUUGAUAGAAUAAAUAAUUGGUUUGAGUUAGAAA